CUGAAACCGAAUGCCUACAAGCAGUUGGAGGGUCUUUAUGGCCUGACAGCGUACCUCUUGCAUAAUGGGUCUGUGACUUAAUGUUUCAAGCAAGCUUAAGCCGUUAGGUGUAGGCGCAGCGAAAGCGAGUCUGAAUAGGGCGUUUGAGUGGCACGGUCUAGACCCGAAGCGAAGUGAUCUACCCAUGGCCAGGUUGAAGCGUGUGUAAGAGCGCGUGGAGGACCGAACCCACUUCAGUUAAAAAUGGAGGGGAUGAGCUGUGGGUAGGGGUGAAAGGCCAAUCAAACUCGGAAAUAGCUGGUUCUCCGCGAAAUCUAUUUAGGUAGAGCGUCGACCGAAUACCCUCGGGGGUAGAGCACUGGAUGGGCU
RNAcentral lists this ribosomal RNA (369 nucleotides) under Conticribra weissflogii. Its description in RNAcentral is "partial Bacterial large subunit ribosomal RNA". It matches the Rfam family "Bacterial large subunit ribosomal RNA", at positions 550 to 920 of the family's 2925-position model. The record is from RNAcentral. Lineage: Eukaryota; Bacillariophyta; Thalassiosirophyceae; Thalassiosirales; Thalassiosiraceae.